UUCGAGACCGGCGCACGGGUGCCCCCUUCGUAUGCAAUCUACCUUAUACAGGGGAAUAGCCCAGAGAAAUUUGGAUUAAUGCCCCAUAGUAUUAUUGAAUGGCAUCAUUUGAUAAUUAAAGUUCCAACGGUAUAAGAUGAGCAUGCGUCCCAUUAGUUAGUUGGUAAGGUAACGGCUUACCAAGACAAUGAUGGGUAGGGGUCCUGAGAGAGAGAUCCCCCACACUGGUACUGAGACACGGACCAGACUCCUACGGGAGGCAGCAGUGAGGAAUAUUGGUCAAUGGGCGCAAGCCUGAACCAGCCAUGCCGCGUGCAGGAAGAAGCAUCUAUGGUGUGUAAACUGCUUUUAUACAGGAAGAAACAACGCUACGUGUAGCGUCUUGACGGUACUGUAAGAAUAAGGACCGGCUAACUCCGUGCCAGCAGCCGCGGUAAUACGGAGGGUCCAAGCGUUAUCCGGAAUCAUUGGGUUUAAAGGGUCCGUAGGCGGCCUUAUAAGUCAGUGGUGAAAUCUCCUAGCUCAACUAGGAAACUGCCAUUGAUACUGUAAGGCUUGAAUUUUUGUGAAGUAACUAGAAUAUGUAGUGUAGCGGUGAAAUGCUUAGAUAUUACAUGGAAUACCAAUUGCGAAGGCAGGUUACUAACAAACGAUUGACGCUGAUGGACGAAAGCGUGGGGAGCGAACAGGAUUAGAUACCCUGGUAGUCCACGCCGUAAACGAUGGAUACUACCUGUUCGGAGCAAUCUGAAUGGCUAAGCGAAAGUGAUAAGUAUCCCCCCUGGGGAGUACGCACGCAAGUGUGAAACUCUAAAGAAUUGACGGGGGGCC
RNAcentral lists this ribosomal RNA (831 nucleotides) under uncultured Bacteroidota bacterium. RNAcentral's name for it is "bacterial SSU rRNA". It matches the Rfam family "Bacterial small subunit ribosomal RNA", at positions 88 to 922 of the family's 1533-position model. The record is from RNAcentral. Lineage: Bacteria; Pseudomonadati; Bacteroidota.